CUGAUGACAAUCCAACACUUUAUCCUAAACGCCCCCACUGACUCGGCUCAGCCCACAGGAUGGAUCACGCCUGAAACAGAUGUCCUGGCUUCCCCGGGCCAAGGAAUCUCAGCCCCUCCCAGUAGAUGAGACACUUCAUCCCUUGGACACCAGAAGCAUCUUCCGGAUUUCAUCAGGCAAGCGCACUCAGUAUGAACGGGUUCCGUGACUUUCUCCUGAGCAAACCUGUGCAGAAGGAUGAAAGGCUUUCUCCCCAGCUGUCAACAAGUACAAUUCAUUAAGGAACAUUUACAUGCACAGAGGAAAGGGAGCAUAAAUUCUCCCACCCUGAAGGAGACAGAACAAAAGUCAUUGCAAAGAUCAGGCAAAGGAGACAUUUGGAGAAUUUUAUUCUGUCUUACCAGAAUACGCAAGAAUGCCCUGAAAGACAGAAAUAAGAGCUUCAUUAGAAUCUCCUUAACAACCAAAAGAGAUGGAGGAAGUCAACAACUGAGGGUGAGGAGAGCUCUCUGCUGACAAGGCCACGUAUCCAGGUCCUUCCUGCUCCAUGGCAAGCACAGGCUGGAUGGAAGGCUUCCGUGGAUGCUUUGGGAGCGAAGUUGCCUGGAGAACCCACAAACUCAGGAGCUAGCAACAAAUUCCAGGACUUUCUAUAACCCAUUAAACACACUUGAAAGUGAUUAUCCUGAGCAGUAAUUGAGAACAGCUGAGACUUAGAAUGCUGGUUCAUAACUUAUCUUCGAUGGGUGUUUCUCAAAAUUUUUCUAUAUAAGAAUCAUCCAGCUAAGUAUAAUAGUUCGAAAUCUUAUCAAAUUGUGUACUUAGUUGCUUUAACAAAGUUGUUUUGGGUUUUUUUCGUUGAAAAAAAAUCAGAUCUCCGGGCUGGCCCCGUGGCCGAGUGGUUAAGUUCGCGCGCUCCACUGCAG
This 926-nucleotide long non-coding RNA is filed under the name Equus caballus (horse). RNAcentral's name for it is "lncRNA (ENSECAG00000036527.2)". The record is from RNAcentral. Lineage: Eukaryota; Metazoa; Chordata; Mammalia; Perissodactyla; Equidae.